CCCGCUGAACUUAAGCAUAUCACUAAGCGGAGGAAAAGAAAUUAACUAAGAUUACCCCAGUAACGGCGAGUGAAGCGGUAAAAGCCCAAAUUGGUAAUCUUCACGCUGUGCGUGACGAAUUGUAAUCUAAAGGUGGAGCACUCAACUAGUGGAGACGCAGAAGUGCCCUAGAAUGGGCCGCCAGAGAGGGUGACAGCCCCGUAUGUGGUGUCUCUGCUAAACGAGUGUCCUUCGAAGAGUUGGGUUGUUUUGAAUUGCAGCCCUAAGCGGGGGAUAGACUUCCUCUAAGGCUAAAUAUAUAUGGGAAACCGAUAGCGAACAAGUACUGUGAAGGAAAGAUGAAAAGAACUUUGAAAAGAGAGUCAAAAGACUUGAAAUCGUUGAGAAGGAAGCGGUAGAAAUUUAUUCUUCGGCCGUGAACAAAGCCUGUCGCCUAACCAUUGGGGUUCUGAGCACUUUAAAGGCUCUCUGCUUCACCUGGGGAAGUGAUGGGUGAGUUCUAGGUUGUGAGGCAAAAUGGGGUUCCACAUCCACAAAAGCUUGGAUAACCUGAGCCGGUUCGCUGGCUAGUUUCCUGUGCUCGUGGGCGUGCAGCCUGAGGAUGCUUUGUGCGAUUUUGCUAAAAUGGUUUUUACCGACCCGUCUUGAAACACGG
Molecule: ribosomal RNA, 655 nt
Filed under: uncultured fungus
Lineage: Eukaryota; Fungi
Description: eukaryotic LSU rRNA
Rfam family: Eukaryotic large subunit ribosomal RNA
Source: RNAcentral